RNAcentral lists this transfer RNA (63 nucleotides) under Eurytoma sp. ZJUH_2016013. Its description in RNAcentral is "tRNA-Ser". The record is from RNAcentral. Lineage: Eukaryota; Metazoa; Arthropoda; Insecta; Hymenoptera; Eurytomidae.
GAAAUAUUUAAUUAAUGAACUUCUAAUUCAAUAAAAAAUAAUUUUAAUUUUAUUUAUAUUUCU